GUGCUCGCUUCAGCAGCACAUAUACUAAAUUUGGGAUGAUACAGAGAAGAUUAGCAUGGCCCCUAUGCAAGGAUGUAGGCAAAUUCAGGAAGCAUUUCAUAUUUUU
This is a small nuclear RNA of Ictidomys tridecemlineatus (thirteen-lined ground squirrel), 106 nucleotides long. NCBI's taxonomy places the organism in Eukaryota, Metazoa, Chordata, Mammalia, Rodentia, Sciuridae. The record is from Ensembl.